This 245-nucleotide ribosomal RNA is filed under the name uncultured Coxiella sp. RNAcentral's name for it is "partial 16S ribosomal RNA". It matches the Rfam family "Bacterial small subunit ribosomal RNA", at positions 524 to 769 of the family's 1533-position model. Lineage: Bacteria; Pseudomonadati; Pseudomonadota; Gammaproteobacteria; Legionellales; Coxiellaceae. The record is from RNAcentral.
UACAGAGGGUGCAAGCGUUAAUCGGAGUUACUGGGCGUAAAGGGCGCGUAGGUGGAUAUUUAAGUCGGAUGUGAAAUCCCUGGGCUUAACCUAGGAAUUGCAUUCGAUACUGGGUAUCUAGAGUAUGGUAGAGGAAAGUGGAAUUCCCGGUGUAGCGGUGAAAUGCGUAGAUAUCGGGAAGAACAUCAAGGCGAAGGCAGCUUUCUGGACCAAUACUGACGCUGAGGCGCGAAAGCGUGGGGAGC